CUACGGGCCGCACCAGUGGGGAAUAUUGCACAAUGGGCGCAAGCCUGAUGCAGCCAUGCCGCGUGUAUGAAGAAGGCCUUCGGGUUGUAAAGUACUUUCAGCGGGGAGGAAGGGAGUAAAGUUAAUACCUUUGCUCAUUGACGUUACCCGCAGAAGGAGCACCGGCUAACUCCGUGCCAGCAGCCGCGGUAAUACGGAGGGUGCAAGCGUUAAUCGGAAUUACUGGGCGUAAAGCGCACGCAGGCGGUUUGUUAAGUCAGAUGUGAAAUCCCCGGGCUCAACCGGGGAACUGCAUCUGAACUGGCAAGCUUGAGUCUGGUAGAGGGGGGUAGAAUUACAGGUGUAGCGGUGAAAUGCGUAGAGAUCUGGAGGAAUACCGGUGGCGAAGGCGGCCCCCUGGACGAAGACUGACGCUCAGGUGCGAAAGCGUGGGGAGCAAACAGGAUUAGAUACCCCGGUAGUC
This 463-nucleotide ribosomal RNA is filed under the name uncultured bacterium. Its description in RNAcentral is "partial 16S ribosomal RNA". It matches the Rfam family "Bacterial small subunit ribosomal RNA", at positions 339 to 795 of the family's 1533-position model. The record is from RNAcentral.